Molecule: long non-coding RNA, 728 nt
Organism: Triticum dicoccoides
Lineage: Eukaryota; Viridiplantae; Streptophyta; Magnoliopsida; Poales; Poaceae
Exons: 3
Source: RefSeq, a predicted model, not a curated record
AUGCACGGGUUGACGACUAGUCCUAUUAAUUACUAAUACAUCAAGGAUCUUCAUGUUGUUGGUUUUCUUACAAAUCCACUCAUUGGUAAUGAUGGUUUAAUUUCUUUGAUAUUUUCUUCAGUUUAGGGACAGCAGCAGUUUUACCACCGAUGGUGUUGCAUGUAAGCUGGAUGUUCUCAUUGUUCUCUUGGCUCUGAUCGGGUGAGUUCUUCCCUAUUUCCUUUUACGGUAGUACGGUUGUAUGCAUAUGCCUCUUGAUAUUUACCAGCUCUUCUUAGGAUUGCCUAACUAGCAUAUAUAUUCUCAGAAAAAUUAUCAUCUACGGCCCAUUGUCAGCUAUACAACUUUUGAAUUCUGUGAAGUUCAGUUCAGAUUUGAUAGCUAUGUCAAAACUCAAUAUUGUAUAACAUGUUUUUUGUAUGAGUGAUAUCAGCUUUCUGAGUCAGAUAAUUUUAUCGAACUUUCGCGCAAAGAAAACACACACAGGGCAGGAACAUGAGUACUCUCGCCCUUCCAUGUUUCUGGUCGAUUGAACUCUUCGGUGACCAGAAAAUGAGAAAAGGGCAGGUCGUCGAUGUACAGACCACAGGCGCUCGGACGCACGGCCGGCGUCAUGGUCGUCAUAGCUCAUAACCCAUGAGGGGGUGACGAAGCAAGAAAGGAAGAUCCCAUGAAUGUCAUUUUGCACCGAAGGUUUGUAACCAUUGGGGAAUGUUUUCUUGCUCUGA